ACAAGGAAGGUUCCAGGAAGACUAGUUCUGGAUGCAUGCAGUAACAGUAUGAUGCGGAGUUUACAUAACGGGAUGUAGGCAGCAAGGGCCUACCAACUACUACCAAUUAGCAACCAUUUGCUUCUACCACUCAACAAAACAAGACGCUCAUCUGAGUAUCGGAUGCUGGGACGACAGCAAUGAACAAUACAUCACGCGAUGAACACCUGGAUCCUAUCUCCCAUGCCGUCCUCAAAAUCAAGCAGUAUCUGCCCAUUCUGGGGGUUGUCCGAAUCCAUAGGCGCAUUCCGAAGCCUUUCCAUGAU
Molecule: long non-coding RNA, 305 nt
Filed under: Hordeum vulgare
Lineage: Eukaryota; Viridiplantae; Streptophyta; Magnoliopsida; Poales; Poaceae
Description: long non-coding RNA (HVUL_LNC005145)
Source: RNAcentral